RNAcentral lists this long non-coding RNA (6570 nucleotides) under Setaria italica (foxtail millet). RNAcentral's name for it is "long non-coding RNA (SITA_LNC004875)". Lineage: Eukaryota; Viridiplantae; Streptophyta; Magnoliopsida; Poales; Poaceae. The record is from RNAcentral.
UCAGUUUCCAUUGACAAAACAAUGAGACAACACAGCAGUUAUUGUGAAUUGAUAUAUCAUGAGUUGAGAUAUUUUUGAGUACAUUCCUAGGAAAUCUAAUUCUCUCAACUCUUGUGUAGUGCAAUAGUUGAACUGUCAAGGACCAGUGUUUGCUAAUGUGCAAUGUUUGUAUUCGAAAUAGUGUUACUAGCAGAAUGAAGAGGUAGACCAGAAGUGUCUGUUACUCCUUUCUGUUUGUUGGUUGGUUACUUGUUUCGCGGAGGUGAUACUGUGUACGUGGUCCUUCAAAUCUGAAGCCUAAAUAAAACACAGAGCGUUUACAUGUGAGGAAACAAAAACUAUCUAUCAAGCUACCUUUUCCACUUAACAAUGAACAACUCUCAAGUACUAGUGGCUUGAGAGUCUUUAUGCGACAAGGAAGCCAUCAGUAACGAAAAUUAAAUAUUUUUCACAAAAAGAAAUGUCAGAUGGACCAUAAAUGUAAUAAGCAUGGUUGCUUUUGAUAUGCGUGAAGUUUACUUGCCCUUAAUGUUAUCCACAUGUACAUGCAAGUGAAUAAAAUCAUGAAUUGGGUAAUGUUGCCCAAUCUCUUAUGCCACAAGAAAGCCUUCAGCUCAUUAUGUGUAUUACAUUUAUUGAAUAAAUGUGUUCAGCAUGAAAGAGGAGUUUUGAAAAAUAUCAAGGUUGAAACGGUAUAAACCAUCAAUCGAAGUACCAGAACUAUAACUAUACUUAAUUCUUAUAUAAGAGACCACAAUGUCUAUAUCCACAGACUUCAAACUAGUACAUCCAACUUUUUCAUAGACAUAAGAUUUCUAGAACAUUCAAAAACAUAAAGACACCCUUUUAGCUCUAAAAGCACAGACCAAUGUCAAGGAUUAUUCACAAGUCCCGAUCCAUUCAAUCCAGUGCCUUCACUCCAUUCCCAUGUAUUUUAGGUCCGCUUAUGGGUUGGAUCAUAAGCAAUUCCUGCACAACGUUCAAAACAUGAGCAGCAGUACCAAAAUCUAGCCACUAGGUAUUAUUAUGACCUAUAAUGAGAUUUGAUUCCAAGACUAUAAGAAAAUUACAUAUAACAAGUAUAUGCACAGGAUAUAACAAGGAUAGGCUAAGGUUCAUUUGCAAUAAAGCUAGAUUUUCAACACAUGCACGGGUUUGUUUUCAAAAGAGUUUUUGCAAAGCUUUUCUUUAGUAACCGAAACAUUGAGCGGGGUUGAUCCUACACAAAGGAUCCAUCAUAAUAAUGAUUGAAGUUGAGUAACGAAUUCCUAAGCAUUCUAGCAGUAGUUAUCAUCUAAACAGAGCAAGUCAUAUUUAGAGAUAAACAUAGGACAACAAGGAAUGAUCGUAACAAUCAAGGGGUGGCUAUCCAACCAUGUCUUGCAAUAAAACAAUAUGCAUUUUAUAAAACAGGCCAAUAGGUUAUGUUUGAAAAACUAGGAAUUGAAUAUGCAUUAAAGGAUGAGAUUGGACUUGCCGUCUUCAAAGCCUUCCGGGAGCUCCGGCUCGUGCUGCUGGUCCUCGGGCUCGGGCUCGCGGUCAAACUCCUCCUCGUGCUCCUCCUCGGGUACUCCGCGAUCUACGGCACACACAAACAGGCACACAAAUAAAUAAAAGAAAAUCAGCUUUUACCUGUUGAGCUCCGAACAAAAAACGCGAACGAAAAAUAGGUAGGAUGAGUAUUUUUGGGAAAUUUGGAUAUGGAUCGGCGGAAGUAUACUGGAGGAUGACGUGGUCGAAUUUGGGAGUAAUUGGAGGAAGUUUGGCGCAUGAAAUGCCGAGUUAAACAUGGACUAGGGGCUUAAAAAGGAGUUUAGGACUAAACAGCGAGAAACCAGGGGCCUAUUGGAAAUAUCUUCGGGAGUGGAGGGCUGAUCUGUGAGGAUCUCUUAAGAGUGGUGGAGGGACUCGUUUGCGAAUAGGAAGAAAGAGGGGUCAGAUCGGAAUUUUGGGGAAUUUGCCCCUUUUCUUCUCCCAGGAACAGAGAGAGAGAGGGGAGUGGGGGAGUUGGCCGGCGGUGGCUGGCCGGCCGGGCUCACCGGCGGCGAGCCGUGGGCGGAGGGGGGUGGAGGAAGUGGAGGGGGCUCCAUUUUGCCCCUUACCUUGGGGAGUUGGAGAGGGAGAGGGGGCGGCCGGUGGUGGCUCGGGUGGCGGCGGCGCACGGGAGGAGCGGCUCAGGCGGCGGCGCACAGGUGGCGGUGGUGCUCGGUGAGGGAGGGAGCAAGGCAGCGGGUGGAUGGAUGGGGUGUGGCGCGGCUUGGGAGAGGGGCGGCCGGGAUGGCCCCCUUUUAUAGCUUGUGAGGUGGCCGGCGGGGUGGGCUCCGAGCGGCGGCCGGUGGCGGUAGGGGCUCGGGUGACCGUGGUGCCGGCGGUAGGGGACCGGGCAGGCGGCACCGGCGGUGGGGGACGGACGCGGGGCGGCGUCGCGGAAGGCGCGGGAUGGAGCCGGCGUGGGCGGCGUAGGGGCACGCCGGCGGGGCCGGAGCGGGACGGCCGCAGGGGCGGCGCGCGGCCCGAGGGCGCCGGCGCGGCCGGUGGGGCCGGGCCGAGGGGCGCGGGCCCGAGCAUGCGGGGGGGGGGCGAGGGUAUGGCGCCAGGGGAAGUGGGCGUCGGGAGGAGUAAUGGCGCCGGGGUUGCGUGCGCCAGGAAGAAGAAAGGAGGAGGAGGAGAGAAGAAGGAAGGAGGAAGAAGAAAGAAGAAGAAAGAGAAGGAGAAAAAGAAAAAGAAAAGAGGGGGGAAAAGAGAAAAAGAUAAGGGGAAACCGGCGGCGAUCGCGGCACGCGGUCGGAGCACGCGCGGCGGUCUGUUGAUCGGCACACGGCGAGAAUUACGGGAGAGGAUAAAAGGAUGGUGUCGGCUAGGGUGCCAGGAUGGCGAAAUCGCCGGGAAGAGUUUGGGUUUUCGGAAGCUCAACGAUAAAAGACUUUGAAAGUGAUUUUUAACGGGUGAUUUUAGUUGGUGAUUUUGCGGAUGUUACAUUAGCCAAGGUUCUGCACGCCUUUGGUUUAUAAAACUACAGUUUCUUGAUACCAUAGUUUUUCUUAAACUACGACAUGCAAACAGGCCGUAAAAUUGGAAUAGCCCAUGGAAUUAUCAAUAAUAAGAUUUAUCCCUCAAAAGAUAAUGCGAUAAUAAUAAAAUAAACCAUGAAGAUGCAAAUGCAAACAAAUUAGGUUACAUGUGAAAGUACAAAACAUGCACUCAUCCGGUGAGAAGCAAAGCUAUCUUAACAUGGAAAGCAAAUUUAUUGCGCAAAUAUCUUGCUCAUGAUCAAGUUUUUAAGAACCAAAUACAUCAACAACACAAGAAAGGGGCCUGCUGUCUAUCAGUGUAUGGUACCUGGACCGGGGGGGUUUUGAUUUGGAAUCACUUGAGCAUUUCCAGGGUUCUCCAUAGACAGCAUUUUCAGAGAAAUCUUCCGCAAAUAAUCAGACUGGAUGAUAGAAAAGAAUAAGGACUUAAGAUGUAGCUUUGCAUUAAUACAAUUAAUUAGUGUUUGUGCAUGGGCCGUAAUAUGUUAGUGCGACAGUGGCCUAGUAUGGUUAGCAUAGUAUACAUGCAUUGCUCCAUCAUCUUUGUGAGGAUGAUAAACAGAUUCUAUAAUAAGCAUCUAGAAAAUGACCUAAAAGCUUUUCAGAUUGUUCAUAGAUAUCAUUAACCCAACCUCAUGACAAAAAAGUUCUGACUCUUCAUGUGGAAGGUUGUAGAGUUAGGUUAAAAGUACCGGGUUGGUGGCUGCAGUAUAAAUUUUCUCUUCAAACCGCACAGCAAUUUUUUGAAGCUCACUCAGCUCCUCAGGCGCUGAUACUGGCCGAUGCUUCUUUAGAGCCUCCAUUCUACACAAAUAAUGAAAGAUGUGAUACAUUGAGAGAUAUACUAAGAAAUGUGUUUGACUACCAUCUAAGAAGUCUUGAACAAACUAGUAGGUCAAAAGCCCAGCAUAUGUACACAGGCUAGUGGUAAAAGUGGGAUGGAAUUUGUGGACAACUAACGCACAGACAUAAGGUUGAACAAGUAAAAUGGACAAAUUUAAGUGGUAGGCAUAUACAUGACAGAAUAAGUAGUUGGGGGUAACGGACAUUUAUAUUUUUGUCUCACAUCAUGUGUUGUCACCUGUACUGGCGGCAUGCCCAAUGCUGAAAGCUCCCACACAGGGCGGGGGUCUAGUUCUAGGCAGCUUUACCUUGCUUAUUUUGUAAGGAGGCUGAUUUGACCCCAGGAUCUCAGGACACAAAGUGGAGGCUACCACUGCGCCAGGCUCACCCUUCAAGCGGCAAGCUUAUACAUGACAUAAUAAUAAUUUUUGAACUUUUUUUCAUCACAUCAUGAGUUGUUGCCGUGCACCCCAACCUAGAAAGAAUCAAACGAAUGGGAAUGUCUCCUCCCAUGUUCGAGGGGGAAAAUAUGAGCUGUCGCCGUGUGCAGGGGACAUCAGCAGAAUCUUUGUUAUGCAGUUAAGGGCAUACAAUAUAACGGCUCUUAUCAAGACGCUUACGGAGAGACAAUAAAUGCUACACCAUUAAGCGCCUACCUCUGAUGUCCUAUUUUGUGGAUGCUUAAAUAGCUUUGUAAGGUUAAGAGCCAGCUAAGCGCCAGUGAGAUUGUUUUUUGCCUGUUAUAAAUGAAAAGAUGAAACAGCCAAAGCUAUGUCUUAUUUUGCUUGGAUUCGAUGCAACAGGAUUUUGCGCAGCAAAAGUUAAGUCAAAUUUUGCAUGGAUUCAGUGCUGUAGGAUUGCAUGAUAGGAAGAUGAUACUGUUGCAGCUCCAGAAAGGAAGAAUACUCAAGUCCAGCAAAAUUUUGGCACUUUGAGACCAUCUUUUGUGAGUUAUGUAAUUGCCGGUCAAUUAGCUGAGAUGGCAAGUGAGCUAGGUGUGCAAUUAAUUUGUUGGUUCAAACAAAUAUAACCCAAAUGGCCAAGGACAAGCAACCAGCGUUGGUCAUGGCUCUUAAGUUCCCUGCGUGUGUCUAUCGUGCAGACAUGACCUUGUAGUGAUUCUAUUUGUGUAUAUCUUGUAGCAAGCGAACAAGUAGUUUCUGCUUUCGAUUUUGAUAAUCGGUGUAGAGAUGUGUAAUCUAGAUAGGAUGAUGGAUUGGAUAUCACGAUACCCCUCUAUCACGGGAUACGGGUGAGCGAUCCGCGAGGUAACAGACGAUGCGAUUUGUAGAAAUUGGCAGAUAAAUCAGUAGGCCCAUGCGCACAGAUGGAUCAGCAAACCCUAACCUAGUAGCAUGAUAGCAUCCGCGCAUCUAUUAGAAAUUAGAAGAGGGGGGAAGGUGUCGACGGAUCGAUCGAAUCGUAAAAGGAGCUCGCCAUGGCGAAAGCAGAGCAACUGAAAUUUCUUCCCGUCAGAGAGGGGGAGGGGAAGGGAAGGAAGAGGGAGUGGACGCACAUCUUAUUGACGAUCCUGCUGCGGGCCUCGGGCGGGAGCAGGGUGCGCCAGUCGCCUCCGGCGGGGGCGGCGGCGUUAGGGUCGACGCCACCGGCGGCAGCGACGGCCGCAGGAUCGGCACCCUGCGUGGGGCGCGAGUUGGCGGCGCCGUCCAUGGAUUGCGACCCUUUCCCCUCAGACAAGCAGGAGCCAGCAGGCAGGAGAGGAAUGGAGGUUAAGGCCUAACUUUUAUUUAAUAGUCAGCAGUGGAGCUUUUCAGCAGCCAUCUGAAAACCUCUUAAGCAAGGGCCAAGGGCCAGGAGCACUCCGGCUGCGCCUCCGCACGUUCGCUCCAACACGAAGAAGCCGAAGUCGCACCAAAUGGCCACGCCGAAGGAGCCGCUUCCGAGCAUCGGCAAGAGGAAGCAGGAGCCGUUUUUGGGCUGCAUGGCGGAGCUCAAAAAAGUAGCUCCGCGGUUCCAGCUCCGACUUCAGCCCCACACGCGAAGUGCUCGGCAAGGAGCGCUCCCAAGCGCGUCCUAAAGCAUAACUUGCUGCUAGAACCCCUUUAACUGGAUUCAAUGUCAGAUGGACCAGAAAUGUAAAGCAUGGUUGCUUUUGAUAUGCGUGAAGUUUACUUGCCCUUAAUGUUAUCCACUACACAUGCAAGUGAAUAAAAUCAUGAAAUGGGUAAUGUUGCCCAAUCUCUUAUGCCACAAGAAAGCCUUCAGCUCAUUAUGUGUAUUACAUUUAUUUUCAAUAAUGUGUUCAGCAUGAAAGAGGAGUUUCGAAAAAUAUCAAGGUUGAAACGGUAUAAACCAUCAAUCAAAGUACCGGAACUAUAACCAUACUUAAUUCUUAUAUAAGAGAACACAAUGUCUAUGUCCACAGACUUAAAACUUAGUACAUCCAACUUUUUCAUAGACAUAAGAUUUCUAGAACAUUCAAAAACAUAAAGACACCCUUUUAGCUCUAAGAGCACAGACCAAUGUCAAGGAUUAUUCACAAGUCCCGGUCCAUUCAAUUCAGUGCCUUCACUCCAUUCCCAUGUAUUUUAGGUCCGCUUAUGGGUUGGAUCAUAAGCAAUUCCUGCACAACAUUCAAAACAUGAGCAGCAGUACCAAAAUCUAGCCGAUAGGUAUUAUUAUGACCUAUAAUGAGAUUUGAUUCCAAGAAUAUAAGAAAAUUACAUAUACAUUU